GACACCUUAAUCCAACAUCGAGGUCGCAAACCCUUCUUUCAAUGUGAACUCUCCAGAAAGAUUACGCUGUUAUCCCUGUGGUAACUUUUUCCGAUAAUCAACAAUGCUGGAUCACUUGUUAGUAAACCAAAAUUCUACAAAUUAACAGAGAAGCUUUUCAUGUUCCCUAGUCACCCCAACUAAAGAUGUAAGAAUAAAUUUAAAAUCCUCUAUUCUAAUAGAAACAACCCCUUUAUUCCACACUAAAGCUCAACAGGGUCUUCUCGUCCCUCAGCUAAAUCUAAGCCUUUUCACUUAGAAGUUAAUUUUUAAAUAUUCCAGGAGAGACAGCUCAGCCCUCGUCAAACCAUUCAUACCAGCCUCCAAUUAAAAGGCAAGUGAUUGUGCUACCUUUGCACGGUCAGUGUACCGCGGCCGUUU
This 420-nucleotide ribosomal RNA is filed under the name Haliotis discus hannai (Japanese disc abalone). RNAcentral describes it as "partial 16S rRNA". The record is from RNAcentral. Lineage: Eukaryota; Metazoa; Mollusca; Gastropoda; Lepetellida; Haliotidae.